Molecule: long non-coding RNA, 327 nt
Organism: Eurytemora carolleeae
Lineage: Eukaryota; Metazoa; Arthropoda; Copepoda; Calanoida; Temoridae
Exons: 2
Source: RefSeq, a predicted model, not a curated record
GCAGGAUGAAGGUUGUAUCUCAAAUCCUCUCCGUUCUUAUCCUAAUCAAUUCAACACAAUCCUUCUUAUUCAACUUCCAGGAGUGUCGUACUGCAGGAGCUCCAUGUUCUGUACCUACUGCUAAUACACCGUUCAGUGGACAGUGCUGUCAGAAUCUAGAUCUAAGAUGUUUAAUAACAGAUAACAACAUUGUCCCGACUACAACUGGUAGUUACAACGAAUGGGUAACAGCACGGACAUGCCAGUGAUUUUCUAGAAGAUGGAAGAUAUUGAUUUAAUUGAUAAUUGAAAAUUAAUAAAUUCAAAUAAUAAUAAGAGCAACCCUAA